GGUUGAUCCUGCCAGUAGUCAUAUGCUUGUCUCAAAGAUUAAGCCAUGCAUGUCUCAGUACAAGCCAAAUUAAGGUGAAACCGCGAAAGGCUCAUUAAAUCAGUUAUGGUUCCUUAGAUCGUACCCACAAUUACUUGGAUAACUGUGGUAAUUCUAGAGCUAAUACAUGCAAACAGAGCUCCGACCGGAGACGGGAGGAGUGCUUUUAUUAGAUCAAAACCAAUCGGUGUCGGGUUCGCUCGUCAUCGUACAACUUGGUGACUCUGAAUAACUUUACGCUGAUCGCACGGUCAUCGCACCGGCGACGCAUCUUUCAAAUGUCUGCCUUAUCAACUGUCGAUGGUAGGUUCUGCGCCUACCAUGGUUGUAACGGGUAACGGGGAAUCAGGGUUCGAUUCCGGAGAGGGAGCCUGAGAAACGGCUACCACAUCCAAGGAAGGCAGCAGGCGCGCAAAUUACCCACUCCCGGCACGGGGAGGUAGUGACGAAAAAUAACGAUACGGGACUCAUCCGAGGCCCCGUAAUCGGAAUGAGUACACUCUAAACCCUUUAACGAGGAUCAAUUGGAGGGCAAGUCUGGUGCCAGCAGCCGCGGUAAUUCCAGCUCCAAUAGCGUAUAUUAAAGUU
Molecule: ribosomal RNA, 627 nt
Filed under: Neomystocis squamiventris
Lineage: Eukaryota; Metazoa; Arthropoda; Insecta; Coleoptera; Curculionidae
Description: SSU rRNA
Rfam family: Eukaryotic small subunit ribosomal RNA
Source: RNAcentral